UAAAUCUUAGGAAUUUAUGCUUUUAGCAAUUAAGAGUUCGAAUCUCUUUACUUGUAAUAAAUAUAUUUUAGAC
RNAcentral lists this transfer RNA (73 nucleotides) under Rufoboletus hainanensis. Its description in RNAcentral is "Butyriboletus hainanensis tRNA-Leu". The record is from RNAcentral. Lineage: Eukaryota; Fungi; Basidiomycota; Agaricomycetes; Boletales; Boletaceae.